AAAAACAGCUCCCUGUCAAGAGACAGUCACUCAGAGGUCGUCCACCAUCAAGAAUACUAGUCGUAGCAUGUCGUCCAACCUUUUUCUUUUACUCGCUUGCUUGCUGGUAUCGUCGAUGUUUGUGCGGGACGCGAACGCCUUUACUCCUGGCAUUCUUAACAAAGAGUACGGCAGACAGUGGAGACCAAAGACGCAGAAACACCAGAAACCCGGGCCAAGUCUUGUACAAACCCCGUCACGAACGACACGUCCACAACGGGAGGAGCUCGAAUCGAGAGAGAGAACAUGUCAAGCGGCACGAUUGCUGGGCUGUUGAAGACAAACUAGGCAUUUUUACCAAAUAUUAUUAACCAUCAGAGAAUGAAUAAUGAGGAUUGAACGCGCUUUAUUUAUCGAACCCGCUAGGCUAGCAAGAAGCUAACAUGAUACUAGAUGUAUUUUUGUCUAUCAACUAUCCCGGAAAUAAGGUUCUUUAAGUUUGAGAUUAUGAUGUCUCAGCUAUUCGUAAAAAAUAAAUAGAUAUGAAUAAUUGUCAGCUGAAUGAUAAAAUGUAACGAACAGAAUCAAUUCACCAUUAAAAUAGUACAAGAAGUU
Nematostella vectensis (starlet sea anemone) is the source of this 594-nucleotide long non-coding RNA. RefSeq lists it as uncharacterized. The transcript has 2 exons. The record is from RefSeq and is a predicted model, not a curated record. Lineage: Eukaryota; Metazoa; Cnidaria; Anthozoa; Actiniaria; Edwardsiidae.